Caenorhabditis elegans is the source of this 279-nucleotide non-coding RNA. NCBI's taxonomy places the organism in Eukaryota, Metazoa, Nematoda, Chromadorea, Rhabditida, Rhabditidae. The record is from Ensembl.
CCAUUCGGGCCAAAGGUUUCGGAUGAUUUUUGGAGCUGAAACUGGGUAAAGUAAGAAACACGUUUAAAAUUGGAACGGAAAAAAUUAUGAAGUAUAACUGAUAGAGUGUGAGAUUAUAAAAUGUAUCAAGCUCAAAAUGUGUUUUCUAAAUAUAAUAAUCCUCAACGAUGACAAAGUGUUUCGCGGCGGCGAGAGGUCCUCCCUGUUGAACGGAGGAGCACGGCGCAUGAGGGUGCUCAGUUUCCGAAUUUGUUUGUUUUUGUCGCCGAUCUGACCCCC